GAUGCGUGGAUGCUCUUUCUCUUUUUAUGUUAGAUAUGGGUGUCUCAUUGAAUUGUAUUCUUUCUUUGCAGGUUGUGAACGGGAAACUAUCACAAACAUGCUACCUAAUGGCUCUUGAUUCUUGUUACAAGCGUUAUUGUAACAAAGUAUGAAAAGUUUGAAGGUAAACCAUUUUCAAUUUCUGAUGCUGACUCUUUCGUAUUCCAUUCUCUAUACAACAAGCUUGUGCAAAAAAGUUUUUCACGGCUAUAUUUCAAUGACUUCCUGCGUCAGUCUAGGUACACUAUAUUUCAGUUCUGCACAUAUUAGCCUUCUCAUUCUGCUAUAUGUUUUUUGGUAGGGUAAUAUACAUAUUCACUCUUUAGUCUUUCUUUUUAUGCAUAUCUGCUAGUAACGAUCUUUUUUUUUUUUCUACUUUCUUAAGUCUCAGUGAGAAACCAAUCGUUCAGUGAUCUCAUGCAUUGUUUAGGCUCCUUUUAAAGUGAAUUUAUACUUUUUUUAUUUUAAUAAUCUCUUUUUGCGCCAGAACUGUUUUUUUUUUCUGUUAUGCUCUUGAUCAUGUCUAGAAGACCUUUGAUCUUGCUUCAUC
Long non-coding RNA from Dendrobium catenatum, 589 nucleotides. RefSeq lists it as uncharacterized. The transcript has 3 exons. NCBI's taxonomy places the organism in Eukaryota, Viridiplantae, Streptophyta, Magnoliopsida, Asparagales, Orchidaceae. The record is from RefSeq and is a predicted model, not a curated record.